ACAUUUUUUCUAGAAGUUAAUUUGAAAUAGGGCCUGCCCACUGUGUAGAUGAAGGGCCGCGGUAUUAUGACCGUGCUAAGGUAGCAUAAUCAUUAGUCUCUUAAUUGGGGAAUGGUAUGAAUGGCUUAACUUACAAAUAUUUUAUUAUUCAAAAAAAUCUAAUUUUAAAUUUAGAUGAAAAUUUCUAAUUUUAUUAACAGGACGAUAAGACCCUUUAGAGCUUUACAUUGAAAAUUUUUAUUCAGGGGUAGUAAUAUUGAAUUUUAGAAAAAAGAUGUUUUGUUGGGGCAAUAAAAGAAUAAUUUUAACUUCUAAAAAAAAUCUUUAAUUUAGAAAUUUAAUAAGUUACCUAAGGGAUAACAGCGUUAUUGUUAUGGAGAGUUCAUAUCGAUAUAAUAGUUUGCGACCUCGAUGUUGAAUUAAAAAAAAUUUCAGGAGCAGAAGUUUGAAAUUUUAGUCUGUUCGACUAGUAAAGUUUUACAUGAUUUG
Molecule: ribosomal RNA, 489 nt
Filed under: Callyntrura sp. BXW-2014
Lineage: Eukaryota; Metazoa; Arthropoda; Collembola; Entomobryomorpha; Paronellidae
Description: partial 16S ribosomal RNA
Rfam family: Bacterial large subunit ribosomal RNA
Source: RNAcentral